GUCUGUUAACAAAAUUACGUAGUGGAACAUUAAAGUUAAAUAUUGAAGUAGGUCGUUAUAAUAAUAUUCCUAGAGAAAAUCGUUUAUGUGAAUGUUGUAAAAUGUGUGUUAUUGAAGAUGAAUAUCAUUUUGUUCUUGUUUGUCCAGCUUAUAGAUCUGUACGAACCCAAUUUUUACCAAAGUAUUAUUGUUCUUGGCCUAAUGAUCGAAAAUUAUUAAAUAUACUACAAGCUUCUAGUAAGUCUCUUACGAUUAAAUUAUGUAAUUAUGUAAAAGCUGCAUGGAAUAUACGAUCAAAUAUAGUCUCAUAACUUUAUAUGGCAUGUCAUUGUAUUAUACUAUUGUUCUCUGCUGUCUAUUCAUGUUUUAUAUUAUGUAAUAUAUGUUGUUAAUUUUGCCAUAGCAUGUCUAUGCUUCUGCAAUAAAGAUUCAUUCA
Molecule: long non-coding RNA, 436 nt
Filed under: Mytilus galloprovincialis (Mediterranean mussel)
Lineage: Eukaryota; Metazoa; Mollusca; Bivalvia; Mytilida; Mytilidae
Source: RNAcentral